CAAGCCUCAAUGCCUUAGACUGUGUAGCUACAGCCCCUGGAUGGCGGUCUCAUGCGAGCCAGUACAUCAACUUCAACUUUCCUCAUUUUCCAAAUACACGAAGCCUUCAUUUUCACACAUGAUUAAUAACAAAUGGACUGUUAUCUUCUUGAGGACGGCUUGCCAAAUACGACAGGAGACGCUACAAAUCGUUCCCUCUUUAAGUGAAGCCCUCCUGUCGUCCCAUUGGUCAGAAUCUUGCCACAACCACUCUCUAUCCAGACAGUGUGUGUCCAGGCCUGAGGUUCGAGCGAGUUGUUCAGAGGCCCAAGGUUGCAGACAACACACUGAGUCCCAGAGCUGUUUAAGACCGUGGUCCACUUGGGAGCCCUAGAUGAGUAUUUAAUUCUCAGACUGUGCAUGUGAGCCAAGAGAAGAGCGAGUUUGAUAGACUCCAUUAUCCAUGCAAAUGAGUUAUGGCAGGGUCCAGUGGCUGCUCUGAUGAAGGGGGCGUCCGAAUUUAUGGCUGUGCCAAGUUCACAACUUUGACUUCGAUACAGAGCAGACCCCUAAUGAGAGAGAGAGAGAUAGAGACUGACACCCAUUCAGGUACACUCUUAGUGUGUGUGUUUUAUGUGUCAUCUAUUUCUUAAUAUGACAGAAUGGGAAUAAAAUGAGCAACAUAUUAUAUAUAGAAUAUUAAAUUACAUAUUAUAUGAUAGAAUAUUAAAUUACAUUUUGUGGUUACUAAAAUAAAUAUAUAACCACAAUAAAUAUAAAUAUAAAAUAAAAUAUAAAAUAAAUAUAUAACCACAAAAUGUAAUUUAAUAUUCUAUGAUUGUAUCUGAUAUUGGUAAAUUAUGUUUAUGUGUCUUUAUAUAUAGAGUAUAUACAUACAUUAUACUUAUACAUCUUUAACAGACAUAUUCUUUUUUUUUUUUUUAAUUUAUUUAUUUUAUUUAUGGGGAUUGGCAUGUUACUCUUGUGUUUCAGCAUUCCUGCAGCAGUCUGUAAUGAUGUUUUCUAUUUCUGUUUCAGAGCCAUUCUCACAUAGACAUGGACCACUAAUGGGCAUAUCUAUAUUGGGAUGUUUUGUAUCGGACUACCAAAGUAUGUACGGGUGUAUGUGUUGUGUGUGUGUGUGAGUGUGAGUGUGAUUGUGAUUGUGUGUGUGUGUGCUGUUUGUUUGAGGGCUCUUGGGAAUAGAGAGUGAGGGAAACAGUGAAUAAAUAGCACACACAGCUAGCCUCCCUCCUGUGUCUCAUCGCUCAGAUCUGAUUGCAACAUAAACAUGGCGUCUCAAUCCAGACUGCCCUUUCUAAACGAUUUUUCACACAGCCAAACAAAGGGCUAGUGAAAGCGUAAUGACCUACACAUCAAAACACUCGCAUGCACAAACACACACACAAGCUGAGCGGUCUCAAAGCGGACCUCCUUGAGAGCUGACACAUUUUACAAUGAUGGCAGGACUACACACUCAUGAAUAUACAAGCCUCUAUCAAUUAAUAAUGAAUUAAACAUGUGCUUUGUUAGAACCAUGAAGGGCUAGUCUGGACCCACACUGAAGAGCGAUAAUAGCUGAUUUUUGCACUUUAUUGUAGGUCUUUCACUAUAGUUGUACAUUUUCCUCAUAUCUCUAUUUACAGUUCAGUUUUUAUUUGUAUGUGUCUUAAUUAACUGUGUUCCCCUUGUUUAACUCCUGAGCAAGUUGAUUUUGUCACCAAUCACCUGUUGAUACCUGGUAGGAUGAAAUCAUGCCGGACCCCUUCAGGGCAACUCCUUUAUUGCCUAGGAGACAUCUGGUAACUCAGUGGUGGGGAUUUUUAGAUGAGUCCGGGCUGCUCUACAUUAGAAGCUAAAAAUAUACCCGGUCUUCUGAAGUUGUGCCACAGGAAGACAGUAAACCCUUUCAUUCUUUCCACCCCCUUUUUUUAAACAGUCAACAAAUCCGUCAUAUCUGGAGAACAGGUGGCACUUCCACUGUGUCCCACAGUGUUGAAACUCAACUUAACAUUUCUUAACAUCACAGAGAUGCUGCUAACGCUCCACGUGCCCUGUGUUGUAUUUUUAGAAUGGAGAGCUGUGCUUUUCUUGGAAAACUGACUGAAGAGAUUUACUAGGAUGAAAAUGAGGAUGACUCCGGUCAGAUGAGUUAGCUAUGAAAGCCAAAUCUGAGCGGGAUCUCUGUCUCUAUGUCUUUGUUGUUAUUUAUUUAUUUCCCUGAUUAUUUCCUAUUGCUCUGUCCAUUCCAAUUUUUGGUCCCACUUUAUAUUAUGUGGCCUUAACUAAUAUGUACUUACAUUUAAAUUAAUCAUUUGAUACAAUGCACUUAUUGUGUACAUACAUGUUUUUACAUUGUACUUAUAUUUUUAAAAAUACCUAUAUGUAAUUACAUCUGUAAUUAAUUUCUGCAAUUAAAUUUAUAAUUACACUGUUGACCCAUCCCUUACACCUUCACCCACCCUUAAACCUACCCAUACCACCAAACCUGUCCCUAACCUUACCCGUAUCCCACCUCAAUAGCAGCAAAAGUGUUUUGCAAUACAAUAUGAACACAAUAAGUACGUUGUACUUAUUUUUUGAUGUAAGUACAUAGUUAAGGCCACCUAAUAUAA
This is a long non-coding RNA of Onychostoma macrolepis, 2594 nucleotides long. RefSeq lists it as uncharacterized. The record is from RefSeq and is a predicted model, not a curated record. Lineage: Eukaryota; Metazoa; Chordata; Actinopteri; Cypriniformes; Cyprinidae. The transcript has 4 exons.